UACGUAGGGGGCUAGCGUUGUCCGGAUUUAUUGGGCGUAAAGAGCGUGUAGGCGGCCAGAUAGGUCCGUUGUGAAAACUCGAGGCUCAACCUCGAGACGCCGAUGGAAACCAUCUGGCUAGAGUCCGGAAGAGGAGAGUGGAAUUCCCGGUGUAGCGGUGAAAUGCGCAGAUAUCGGGAAGAACACCCGUGGCUAAGGCGGCUCUCUAGUACGGUACUGACGCUGAGACGCGAAAGCGUGGGGAGCGAACAGG
This 253-nucleotide ribosomal RNA is filed under the name uncultured bacterium. RNAcentral's name for it is "partial 16S ribosomal RNA". It matches the Rfam family "Bacterial small subunit ribosomal RNA", at positions 524 to 776 of the family's 1533-position model. The record is from RNAcentral.